UUUAUCCAUUUAUCAAUAUGUUUUAGAUAGAGCUAUACCAUUAGUGUGUUCAUGGAUUUCAGUUUGUAUUGACUGCUGUGUGGGUGUAAUUGAACAUGAACUUGAACUAGACCUAAACUGCUAGUUUCUGUAGGCUGACUCGUUUUCAGUGGAUCUGUUUAGGCUGCCUUCUACAGUAGAUUGUGUCUCUGUGGCCUGUUCUCUCUCUCCAGACUGCAGGAGGCUUGUGGCUGGGUGGAUGAGCUGGGAGCCAGGGGGGGAUGUAACCUCCUCCAGGCCCUSAAGAGAGGCCUUGGCCUGGGCUGCACUCAGCUUGACUCCCUGGUCAUCGUCCUGGGCUCCAGCCCUGACCAGACCUCAGAUGYCCUCUCUGAUUACGUAGGACAAAGCAUUUUGGGAAGGGCGUUGUUGAUCCAUGUGGUGUCCUACUGUAGCAUUAGCCCUCUGACCAUUGCAACCGUAAAGAGACUAGCUGAAGUUACACGGGGACGCCACCACAUCUUCUCAGCUUCCCUGGGUGUAGUGGACAGCAGUACAGAUGUGGAGCUGCUGUGGACAGAGAUCAAGGCAGCCAGAGAGCUGCUGGGACACACUGAGGCCCUGCGUCAGGGACGGCUGGGGGAGAUGAAUGUCACUGUGGUGGGACAACAGAUUUCCACAGAGUUGGACAGCUUUUCACUCUCUCCUUCGCUCCCCAGACCACCCAAUCACAAUGUCCCCCUGAGCAUCAAGCCCCCAGGUGUCCUGCCCAGCUCCUCGGCUGAUUGGCUGAGGAACCAU
This is a long non-coding RNA of Salvelinus sp. IW2-2015, 780 nucleotides long. RefSeq lists it as uncharacterized. Lineage: Eukaryota; Metazoa; Chordata; Actinopteri; Salmoniformes; Salmonidae. The record is from RefSeq and is a predicted model, not a curated record.